UUUCGCAAUGCCCGAAAGGGUGACGAAGCGACGCCGCGUGUGGGAAGAAGGCCUUCGGGUUGUAAACCACUGUCGGGAGUUAAGAAAUGCAAGGAUAUGAAUAGUGUCUUUGUUUGACUAAGGCUCCGGAGGAAGCCACGGCUAACUCUGUGCCAGCAGCCGCGGUAAUACAGAGGCGGCAAGCGUUGUUCGGAAUUAUUGGGCGUAAAGAGCACGUAGGCGGCUAUGUAAGUCGGUUGUGAAAGCCUUCCGCUCAACGGGAGAACAGCAUCCGAUACUACAUGGCUUGAGUGCGGGAGGGGAGAGUGGAACUUCUGGUGGAGCGGUGAAAUGCGUAGAUAUCAGAAGGAACGCCGGCGGCGAAAGCGGCUCUCUGGCCCAUAACUGACGCUGAGUGUGCGAAAGCUAGGGGAGCAAACGGGAUUAGAUACCCCGGUAGUCCUAGCCGUAAACGAUGGGCACUAAGUAGAGGGGUUUU
Molecule: ribosomal RNA, 478 nt
Filed under: uncultured Planctomycetales bacterium
Lineage: Bacteria; Pseudomonadati; Planctomycetota; Planctomycetia; Planctomycetales
Description: bacterial SSU rRNA
Rfam family: Bacterial small subunit ribosomal RNA
Source: RNAcentral